This 1708-nucleotide long non-coding RNA is filed under the name Homo sapiens (human). RNAcentral describes it as "HSALNT0237641". Lineage: Eukaryota; Metazoa; Chordata; Mammalia; Primates; Hominidae. The record is from RNAcentral.
GAAAGAAUGCUGAUUUCAUUUUAUUUUUUAUUUUGUUUAGAACAAGUUAAAGAUGAUAGAAGUAAAACUUUAAACAAAAUAAAUGUAACAGAGCAAAGAAUGAUUCAUGGGAAUUGGGCUUUGCUCUGAAACAUGGGCAGUGAGUAUUUACAGGCAGAAAAAGGCUGAAGAAUGCAGAAACAAAGAACACAAAGUGGAUUGGUUUUUUCAAAGUUACUUUCCUUGUGAAGGUUAAAGUAGGGGGACUUCCUUAUCAGGCAGGCUAAAACUGGCUGUUCGGAGAUGUGGCUAUUAUCUCCCUCUCGCUCCUGAUUUCUUGGAAGGUCAGAUAACAAUGUAGUUUUGGCUUGGUGGCCUGGAACUUUACCGUGAGUAACUCCAUUUUGGUUUGGUCUACUGGGGCCUAGUGCAGGAACUUACUUCAAACCAAUGACCUCCUAUAAAUUUUAUUUAACAGAGAUCAUAAGUUUAUGAGCCGGUAACUUACUAUAGCAUUCAUUUCUAAUUUAUAGUUAAAACACAUCCUGUUAUUUAUUUUUUUCACAUAAUUGUUGAAAUCCAACACAGCUACGAAUGAGUCUUAAUGUUUUUUAAACAUUUCUUCUAGGAUGUUGCCUUUCUCCCCAAGCCCCAGUUCUCUCUUGCUUGUAGCUUGCACUUGGUCCUCUAGAUGGCAAUAUACUAACAUAUGAUGUAAAUGAAACCAACGCAUACUGGAGCAGCCAAUUUACUUGGUUUAGUAAGAAAUGAUGGUUUUCCUACAAGUGGUGAGUUAGGACUAAAUCCAUGCAUCUUAUUGUGAAAUUAGUCAAAAUCAGUGCCAGGGAAUGAAUAGAUGCUGAAUAAAUAAGUACAAUAUAAUACCCACAAUGUACCAGAGAUCAAGCAAGACAGGUACUGUAGACACAGUCAGACAUAAGAAGAACUAUGAGUGCUAUGUGUCUGGCUUCCUGAUCUCGGCAAACCCUGCCAUUUAACAAGUGAGGAAACUGAGGAUUGGGGGAUCAGUAGCUUUCCUGGGGUCAUAUAACUAGAGAGAGGUGAAGCCAGGACUUGUCAAUGGUGAGGCUUCGAUGAUGAGCUUGAAUUUAAGAUAUGUCAGAUUUGAAGCCAAUGGAGCAUAUCAAAUUAGCAAAGUGCAGUGGAAACCUGGAACUCAACCUCAGGAUUAGGCCAAAGGUAUACAUUUAAGAGGCAUCUCUGUAGAGCAGAGUUGAAGCUGUAACAAUGUAGGAGUGGUCUACAGCAACUGUGUCUGUUAAAGAGCUGAUAACUGAAGUGUAAUUCCCAAAGACCAAGGUGAUAUGGCAGCGGGUAAAGGGCAUACGCAGUGCAGACAAACAUGAGUUUAAAUCCUGGCUUCAUACUUACUUGCUGUGUUGGUCAUGGGCAUUUAACUUCUUAAAUAUCAUGAGAUACUUAAUCUCUUUGACUCUUUGCAAUGACCGUGUGAGGGAGAUACUACCACCAUUUUACAGAUGAGGAAACUGAGGGUUAGAGAAUGUAGGAGUUGACCCAAGGUCAUGGUGCAUCUAGUACAUGAUGGAUCCAAGGUUCCUAUCUGGACAGUCUGCCUUAGGCUUACAGUGCUAAGCACCACAUGCAGUUUCCCCAAUCAUACACCUUAGGACACCACCUUUGUAUGUGGGUCUCGUGCCAGAGAUGAACGUGGGCGCAUGCACACGCGUGCAUGCACACACACAUGCAC